RNAcentral lists this ribosomal RNA (163 nucleotides) under Massarina sp. GX5-2C. RNAcentral's name for it is "5.8S ribosomal RNA". It matches the Rfam family "5.8S ribosomal RNA". Rfam says of the family: 5.8S ribosomal RNA (5.8S rRNA) is a component of the large subunit of the eukaryotic ribosome. It is transcribed by RNA polymerase I as part of the 45S precursor that also contains 18S and 28S rRNA. The record is from RNAcentral. Lineage: Eukaryota; Fungi; Ascomycota; Dothideomycetes; Pleosporales; Massarinaceae.
AACUUUCAACAAUGGAUCUCUUGGUUCUGGCAUCGAUGAAGAACGCAGCGAAAUGCGAUAAGUAGUGUGAAUUGCAGAAUUUAGUGAAUCAUCGAAUUUUUGAACGCAUAUUGCGCCCUUUGGUAUUCCAUUGGGCAUGCCUGUUCGAGCGUCAUAUGUAAAU